RNAcentral lists this ribosomal RNA (253 nucleotides) under uncultured bacterium. RNAcentral describes it as "partial 16S ribosomal RNA". It matches the Rfam family "Bacterial small subunit ribosomal RNA", at positions 524 to 776 of the family's 1533-position model. The record is from RNAcentral.
UACGGGGGGGGCAAGCGUUGUUCGGAAUUACUGGGCGUAAAGGGUUUGUAGGUGGCCCGCUAAGUCACACGUGAAAUCCCUCAGCUUAACUGGGGAACUGCGUGUGAGACUGGCAGGCUCGAGGGCAGGAGAGGAACGCGGAAUUCCAGGUGUAGCGGUGAAAUGCGUAGAUAUCCGGAGGAACACCGGUGGCGAAGGCGGCUUCCUGGACCGACACUGACGCUGAGGCGCGAAAGCUAGGGGAGCAAACGGG